UGUUGAUAGGCUGUCUUCAACUUGCCAUAUCUGAGAGUUCCAACAUGCAGGCCUGGAUUAAUGUUUUAUCACAACAAAUGGAUGGGACAGUAGAGUUGUUGCGGACAAUAUGUGAUUGUGAUGACCAAGUACUGAACAAGUGGAAGAUUAGAAGAAGGUCCAGAAUUCAAUCAUGUUUUUGAUUCUAAGGCACAGACAGCAUGGAGAUAGUCCUAUUAUUCUCCCAUUCGUCUAUGAUGGAGAAACUUGUGUAAAUGUUUACAGUGUUCUCCCUAAUAAGUGCCCACAAGUCUGUAUUAAUUUAUCAGAAUAUAAAGUCCUUCACAGUACUGACUUUAAAAUUCAUGUAGAUUGUCUCCAGAUUUUUCUGAGGAAAAGUGCAUAGUUUACAUGUGUGAAUUUUGAAUAUAUUUCAUUCUUGUCUGCAAAUGUUGCCGAAACCUGUUAUUGAUGCACAAUGCACAUAGUCAUGUUAUGCAAAUGAUAGACCUCCUUUAAAAUUACAUGUCCUUAAGAUCAUGUCAACUCCUUUGUCUUAAUUGUAUAUACAAUUCUAGCAUUUAUAGCAUCAUUUGUAUAGCACUUGCUAGUUUAAUAAGGAUUUUAUUUUUUAAAAACUUUCAUUUGACAUGAUUGAUCUAAAACGGCCAAAAUUCACAAAUCUAUUUAAAUCACAACCUGACCUUAGGCCAGAAAAGUGCCACAGUGGGUUGAUAUUUUUCUCUUGGAUCUUGAAAGAAAUUCUUUAUGCAGCAGUUUCCAAAUAAAAUGUACUCUCAUGGCCAGGGUGGGACUUCACCGAGAACUUUUUAACACUGCACAAUGCAAUAUUUGUGGAUUAGAAGCUGUUGCAGUUUCUUUAAGUUUUGUCUCACAUCUUGUUAUAAUUAUAUUUUAUAUUUUUGGUCGGGUUUCACAAUGUGCAAACAGUUUAUAAAAUGGUGAAUGACUGGUGGGCAAGCGACAAUAGCGUCCCUGUAAUAGUACCUACUUUGUGUAAUCAACUCCUUUCACACCUCUCACUUGAUGUUCCUCAAACUUUGUACAGUAGUUAGGGAUACAUUGAAGAUGUGCGUGUACCUUUUUGAAAGUGAUCAGACAUUUUUUGAAAAAUUUACAUGUAGUUAAACUUCGUCAUUUUUUAAGCAUUUCUUUAAUCGACAGUACCUAUUUUGUGUAAUCAACUGCUCGUAUACCUCUAAUUUGACAUUCCUCAAACUGUGUACAGUUGUUAUGAAUACAUUGAAGAUGUGCUUAUGUGUUUUUGAAAGUUAUCAGACUUUUUAAAAAAAAAAUGUACAUGUAGUUGAACUUAAGUCAUUUUAAAGCAUUUCUUGAAUAGAUGGUAACUAUUUUGUGUAAUCAAAUCCUCAUGCACCUCUAACUUGACAUUCCUUAAACUUUGUACAGUUGUUGUGAACACAUUGAAGAUGUGCAUGCGUCUUUUUGAAAAUGAUUAGACUUUUCUUUUUCUUUUAAAUUACGUGUCGUUGAACUUGGUCAUUUUUUAUGCAUUUCUUGAAUAGAUGGUACCUAUUUUGUGUGAUCAACUCGUGCACAUCUAAAUUGAUAUUCCUCAAACUUUGUACAGUAGUUAUGGACACAUUGAAGAUGUGCAUGUGUCUUUUUGAAAGUGAUCAGACUUUUUUCAAAAAAAUUACAUUUAGUUGAACUUUGUCAUUUUUUUAAAGCAUUUCCUGAAUAGAUGGUACCUAUUUUUUGUUAUCAACUCCUCUUACAGCAUUUAUUUGACAUUCUUCAGACCUUGAACAGCUGUUAUGGAAGCAUUGGAAAAGUGCAUGUGUCUUUUCGGAAGUGAUCAGGCAUUCUUUGAAAAAUUUACAUGUGCAUGGUGAAGUUGAACUUAGUCAUUUUUUAAGCAUGGUACUUUAUGUAACCAACUCAGCUUUUACUUAACAUUUUCCAGACCCUGUACAUUAUAGAUGUUAUAAAAACAUUGAAGAUACAUGUUAACAUUUUAAAAAUGCUUCUCUUCUUUGUUUUUUUUUUUUUUGGUUGAAAAAUUCUACCUUUAAUUGGUCAUUUUUCCAGUAUGUUUCUACUGUUGUUCCUAUGAUAGAUAACAUAUUUUACAAGAACCUGGUCAUUUCUGUUUUUGAAUCUCUCUUUUUUUUAAUUAGUAUUUUUGAAUAUAUGUUAAUUACUUGAUAUGUCAUUGUUCUUGAAAUUAUAGUAAUUGAAUUAUUA
Ostrea edulis (European flat oyster) is the source of this 2208-nucleotide long non-coding RNA. RefSeq lists it as uncharacterized. NCBI's taxonomy places the organism in Eukaryota, Metazoa, Mollusca, Bivalvia, Ostreida, Ostreidae. The record is from RefSeq and is a predicted model, not a curated record. The transcript has 2 exons.